RNAcentral lists this transfer RNA (73 nucleotides) under Ixodes scapularis (black-legged tick). It matches the Rfam family "tRNA". From Rfam's summary of the family: Transfer RNA (tRNA) molecules are approximately 80 nucleotides in length. Their secondary structure includes four short double-helical elements and three loops (D, anti-codon, and T loops). The record is from Rfam by way of RNAcentral. Lineage: Eukaryota; Metazoa; Arthropoda; Arachnida; Ixodida; Ixodidae.
CCCUGGUUAGCUCAGCUGGUAGAGCGCUCCACUUGUAAUGGAGAGGUCCCGGGUUCGAUACCCGGACCAGGCG